GAUCAGUGGCUACGAGGACGACGCUGGCGGCGCGCCUAACACAUGCAAGUCGAACGAGAGAUGAGGAGCUUGCUCUUCAAAUCGAGUGGCGAACGGGUGAGUAACGCGUGAGGAACCUGCCUCAAAGAGGGGGGACAACAGUUGGAAACGACUGCUAAUACCGCAUAAGCCCACGGCUCGGCAUCGAGCAGGGGGAAAAGGAGCAAUCCGCUAUGAGAUGGACCCGCGGCGCAUUAGCUAGUUGGUGGGUAACGGCCUACCAAGGCGAUGAUGCGUAGCCGACCUGAGAGGGUGAUCGGCCACAUUGGGACUGAGACACGGCCCAGACUCCUACGGGAGGCAGCAGUGGGGAAUAUUGCACAAUGGGGGAAACCCUGAUGCAGCAACGCCGCGUGAGUGAUGAAGGUUUUCGGAUCGUAAAGCUCUGUCUUUGGGGAAGAUAAUGACGGUACCCAAGGAGGAAGCCACGGCUAACUACGUG
RNAcentral lists this ribosomal RNA (481 nucleotides) under uncultured bacterium. RNAcentral describes it as "bacterial SSU rRNA". It matches the Rfam family "Bacterial small subunit ribosomal RNA", at positions 33 to 507 of the family's 1533-position model. The record is from RNAcentral.